RNAcentral lists this ribosomal RNA (506 nucleotides) under uncultured bacterium. Its description in RNAcentral is "partial 16S ribosomal RNA". It matches the Rfam family "Bacterial small subunit ribosomal RNA", at positions 29 to 523 of the family's 1533-position model. The record is from RNAcentral.
AGUGAACGCUGGCGGUAGGCCUAACACAUGCAAGUCGAACGGCAGCACAGGAGAGCUUGCUCUCUGGGUGGCGAGUGGCGGACGGGUGAGGAAUUCAUCGGAAUCUACUCUGUCGUGGGGGAUAACGUAGGGAAACUUACGCUAAUACCGCAUACGACCUACGGGUGAAAGCAGGGGACCUUCGGGCCUUGCGCGAUUGAAUGAGCCGAUGUCGGAUGAGCUAGUUGGCGGGGUAAAGGCCCACCAAGGCGACGAUCCGUAGCUGGUCUGAGAGGAUGAUCAGCCACACUGGAACUGAGACACGGUCCAGACUCCUACGGGAGGCAGCAGUGGGGAAUAUUGGACAAUGGGCGCAAGCCUGAUCCAGCCAUACCGCGUGGGUGAAGAAGGCCUUCGGGUUGUAAAGCCCUUUUGUUGGGAAAGAAAUCCAGCUGGCUAAUACCCGGUUGGGAUGACGGUACCCAAAGAAUAAGCACCGGCUAACUUCGUGCCAGCAGCCGCCGUAA